AACAAGGGGUGCGAACGCAUUUGCUUCGCUGAGAACAUACCCUUAGAACCUGCCACGGAUAAUGCCGGCGAAGGAAUAGUUA
Molecule: non-coding RNA, 82 nt
Filed under: uncultured Prevotellamassilia sp.
Lineage: Bacteria; Pseudomonadati; Bacteroidota; Bacteroidia; Bacteroidales; Prevotellaceae
Source: RNAcentral